AAAUAGCUUAAGGGUUAAGGGUAUGGAUUUUCGAUCUAGUGGUCGUGGGUUCGAAUCCCACUUU
RNAcentral lists this transfer RNA (64 nucleotides) under Papilio machaon (common yellow swallowtail). It matches the Rfam family "tRNA", at positions 5 to 66 of the family's 71-position model. Rfam says of the family: Transfer RNA (tRNA) molecules are approximately 80 nucleotides in length. Their secondary structure includes four short double-helical elements and three loops (D, anti-codon, and T loops). Lineage: Eukaryota; Metazoa; Arthropoda; Insecta; Lepidoptera; Papilionidae. The record is from Rfam by way of RNAcentral.